Molecule: transfer-messenger RNA, 401 nt
Filed under: Candidatus Kaiserbacteria bacterium
Lineage: Bacteria; Candidatus Kaiseribacteriota
Also listed under: 1 other name
Rfam family: transfer-messenger RNA
About the family: Bacterial tmRNA, also known as 10Sa RNA or SsrA, is named for its dual tRNA and mRNA-like properties.
Source: RNAcentral
GGGGGUGACUGGCUUCGACAGAGGGAUCGACACAUCCAUGCGCGGGCGAGAGCGAACGUCUCUCCAAACCCGUUCACAAUCUCAAGUGCGAACAAAGUAGCACAGGGAGUUCUUUCACCGAUUCAGGUGAAGGACCUUCAGUUCGCUUACGCAAUAGCCUAAGCGACCGUUCUCCAAUCCGAUGCUUGAUUACGAUUGGCAGAACGUCACUUCACUCAAGCGCUGAUGUCGACCUGUCCGAGCGAUAUCUAAGAAACUGGACUCGGUUUCGCGCGCUUUCGCUCAUCUUUUAUGCGCGACGCUUAAAUCCGCCACCCGGCGGAUCAAGAUGAUCUACGCUCCGUAGACACAUGCAUGCUGUUUCUCUCUGCACGGGGGUUCGAUUCCCCCCACCUCCACAA